CAUAUUUCAACCUCAGAAACCACAACCAUCUCACAGUGGCUUACAAGUAAUGUACUUUUCAGAUGAGUAGUAAUUAGCGUGAGAUUGAGAUUAGAAAACACAAUGGAUUUUUGGGUGCAGAUCUUCAGUUUUAUGCUACUCAGUGUCACAGUGACCUGGGGAGAAAUUGUGCUUACCCAGUCUCCAGCAUCCAAGGCUGCAUCUCAUGGGGAGACGGUUACCAUCAGCUGUAGUGCCAGCUCAAGUGUAAGCACCAGCUAUUUGCACUGGUACCAACAGAAGCCUGGAGAUUCCCCUAAACUCCUGAUUUACAGAACAUCCAACCUGGCUUCCGGAGUGCCAAACCGCUUCAGUGGCAGUGGGUCUGGGACUUCCUAUUAUCUGGCAAUCAGCAGUGUACAGGCUGAAGAUGCUGCCACUUACUUCUGUCAACAGUCGGAUACUUACCCAUGCCCACAGUGCUAUAGACUGGAACAAAAACCCUUAACCUGCAUAGAGUCCAGCUACUUCCUCCUAAAGAAUAAAGAAGGCUAAAGUUUUUAAUGAUAU
This is a non-coding RNA of Mesocricetus auratus (golden hamster), 549 nucleotides long. NCBI's taxonomy places the organism in Eukaryota, Metazoa, Chordata, Mammalia, Rodentia, Cricetidae. The record is from the annotation of a RefSeq genome assembly.